This 362-nucleotide ribosomal RNA is filed under the name Philantomba monticola (Blue duiker). RNAcentral describes it as "partial 12S small subunit ribosomal RNA". It matches the Rfam family "Bacterial small subunit ribosomal RNA", at positions 796 to 1353 of the family's 1533-position model. The record is from RNAcentral. Lineage: Eukaryota; Metazoa; Chordata; Mammalia; Artiodactyla; Bovidae.
UCAGCCCUAAACACAAAUAAUUUUAAAAACAAAAUUAUUCGCCAGAGUACUACCGGCAACAGCCUAAAACUCAAAGGACUUGGCGGUGCUUUAUACCCUUCUAGAGGAGCCUGUUCUAUAAUCGAUAAACCCCGAUAGACCUCACCAAUUCUUGCUAAUACAGUCUAUAUACCGCCAUCUUCAGCAAACCCUAAAAAGGAACAAAAGUAAGCGCAAUCAUGACACAUAAAAACGUUAGGUCAAGGUGUAACCUAUGAAAUGGGAAGAAAUGGGCUACAUUUUCUACUUCAAGAAAACCCACAUACGAAAGUUAUUAUGAAACUAAUAACCAAAGGAGGAUUUAGUAGUAAACUAAGAAUAGA